RNAcentral lists this ribosomal RNA (493 nucleotides) under uncultured bacterium. RNAcentral describes it as "bacterial SSU rRNA". It matches the Rfam family "Bacterial small subunit ribosomal RNA", at positions 28 to 533 of the family's 1533-position model. The record is from RNAcentral.
GACGAACGCUUGCGGCGUGCCUAAGAAAUGCAAGUCGAGCGAGGUUUAGGCUUCGGCCGACGACCUAGCGGCGAACGGUCGCGUAACACGUAAGCAACCUGCCCUAAAGUUGGGGAUAGCCCGCCGAAAGGCGGAUUAAUACCGAAUGUGGAUAUGAUUUCGCAUGUGAUUAUAUCUGAAGCAGCGAUGCGCUUUAGGAUGGGCUUGCGGCCUAUCAGUUAGUUGGUGUGGGUAACGGCCUACCAAGACGACGACGGGUAGCUGGUCUGAGAGGAUGGUCAGCCGGAUUGGGACUGAGACACGGCCCAGACUCCUACGGGGGCAGCAAUUAGGAAUCUUGCGCAAUGGGCGAAAGCCUGACGCAGCGACGCCGCGUGACUGAUGAAGUCUUUCGAGAUGUAAAGGUCUUUUGUUGGGGACGAAGGAAGUGACGGUACCCGACGAAUAAGCCCCGGCUAACUACGUGCCAGCAGUCGCGGUAAUAGUGUGUGUA